AGAGAGGGAGGGAGAGAGAGCGCGGCCACGCUGCGUUGUUAUACUUAGAUUGAGUUGAGAUUAUCCGAUAUAUAUCGAAGGAUUCGGAGGAAUCAUCCCUGACGUAACGUGACGCCCGAGCGCUAGAAAACCGUGAAACGGAUCGGGCCACUCGACGACUCGGGAGCGUUCUCCCGGCGCCCGGCCUGGGGGCGUGAGAGGGUGAGCGAAACGAAGGGCAGAGAAAAUGAAUAAAGGAGGUUCUGGCUGCGGCACGUGCGAGGGCUACCGACCGCAAAAGAGGCGGCUUAUAUUAUUAUAACGUGGCCAGGUGGGCGAGACCGUCUAUUGGCGGCGCUAACGAGGGAUCGGUAAUUAUUACCCACGACUUAACUCCUAGCUGCGCGUGCAAAGACCUUUUAUUGCUCGACGGCUCGCACACCCUCCUUCGCCGAGCCGAUCUACCACGCGGGGGUUGCGUAACGCGCCCACCCCUGCGCGGUUGUCAAUUUGAGAAAUAUUUGCACGGCCGUGCGCGAAUUGUGCUCGUCGGGUCGCCGGCCGAACUUCUUCAAAGCGCGCUCCAGGUCGCUGCAGUUAUAUAUAUAUAUUUUUUAUAUAAAUAUAUAUUUUUCCCGGCUUCGUGCCGCGUCCAUCUUGGAUUUGCUCUCGACGUUUCGUGAACAUCCAGUUCGCUUCUUCAGCCAGAGAGCAACAGCCAGAAACUCUGAAAAACUCUUCGAAAGUUUCUGGGUGUUCCUCUUCCCGAGGAAGUGAACUGGAACGAAGAAAGAGAGAGAAAUCCGAGAUGGACGCUGUUGCACAAGCCUGAAAGUUGGAUGAAAUAUACCUUUUCUCCUUCCAACGGGAUACGCGCGAUCUUUUUCGACACUCCUCUUUCGCCGAAUCUCGAAACAUGCGCAACUGAUAACUCCGACAUCCGAGCAGUAUGCGUCUUGGCAGUUUAUCGCUUUACAAUUCAACGCACGGCGAAGAAAAUUAGUAGCUUAAUUUGGCAUAUAUUAAGGCGUACCGAGAUGCAUUUCGCUUUGUGCGCCGCUUAUCACUCACGCACAACUGCGGCGGUCGGAACGUAUAUUACACGACUCUCGAGAUUUGAUGGAGUUGUUGACCCUUGUUAAUAUAUCUGCGUGUGCCGCAACGAUUAUACACUUUCAGCGCAUUAGUGUGAAAGCACGUUUACCUGUCCGGUCAAGGUGGACGAUCCAUCAUCGUGUCAACGGACCAUUAUAAUGUAGCAAGUAUUUUAUAGGUUUUUUCAUAUCUCGGAUUCCCCCACGGAAUCUUUCGCAGUCGGCAGAUAACGUCCACGAGAUGUAUGAGAAUUGAACGAGGGGUUCCACGAAUCCCAAUCUUACCCUGCGUUAGGCCCAAAUAAAACUCCGCUGAGAAGGUCAACAUAUUUCGCUUAAUACCAUCAGAAGCCGCCUGCAUAAAAAUGAUGUGGCAUCACCACAUUUCGGUCCACCAUGAAGAAACCACUGCUGUCAGAAAAGCUCGAAAAUGGGAUAAUUAUGAUGGAUUGGCCGGUAUUCUCUCCAGACGCAAAUCCCAUCGAAAAUGUGUGGUCAUACCUUAAGAUGAAACUUAAAGGAAAGCGUGUCUUCACUUUUAAGCAGCUGUGCAUAAAAAUAAAAACAAUAUGGCGUUCUUUGCCAGAAUACGCCGAAAAUCUGGUCAAAAAUAUGCAAAAACGGUGCCAAGCAAUAAUUGAUAAUGGAAGCGACUGGAUCAAAUAUUAGAUUAUCACCAACGCUUUCUUGUUGGACAGAUUGUAUGUGUGUAAACUUUUUUUUAUAAAUCCUAAUCUAACCUGAACCAACC
Long non-coding RNA from Harpegnathos saltator (Jerdon's jumping ant), 1824 nucleotides. RefSeq lists it as uncharacterized. Lineage: Eukaryota; Metazoa; Arthropoda; Insecta; Hymenoptera; Formicidae. The transcript has 3 exons. The record is from RefSeq and is a predicted model, not a curated record.